GCUUACACAUGCAGUCGAACGAUGAACCACUUCGGUGGGGAUUAGUGGCGAACGGGUGAGUAACACGUGGGCAAUCUGCCCUGCACUCUGGGACAAGCCCUGGAAACGGGGUCUAAUACCGGAUACUGAUCCUCGCAGGCAUCUGCGAGGUUCGAAAGCUCCGGCGGUGCAGGAUGAGCCCGCGGCCUAUCAGCUAGUUGGUGAGGUAACGGCUCACCAAGGCGACGACGGGUAGCCGGCCUGAGAGGGCGACCGGCCACACUGGGACUGAGACACGGCCCAGACUCCUACGGGAGGCAGCAGUGGGGAAUAUUGCACAAUGGGCGAAAGCCUGAUGCAGCGACGCCGCGUGAGGGAUGACGGCCUUCGGGUUGUAAACCUCUUUCAGCAGGGAAGAAGCGAAAGUGACGGUACCUGCAGAAGAAGCGCCGGCUAACUACGUGCCAGCAGCCGCGGUAAUACGUAGGGCGCAAGCGUUGUCCGGAAUUAUUGGGCGUAAAGAGCUCGUAGGCGGCUUGUCACGUCGGUUGUGAAAGCCCGGGGCUUAACCCCGGGUCUGCAGUCGAUACGGGCAGGCUAGAGUUCGGUAGGGGAGAUCGGAAUUCCUGGUGUAGCGGUGAAAUGCGCAGAUAUCAGGAGGAACACCGGUGGCGAAGGCGGAUCUCUGGGCCGAUACUGACGCUGAGGAGCGAAAGCGUGGGGAGCGAACAGGAUUAGAUACCCUGGUAGUCCACGCCGUAAACGGUGGGCACUAGGUGUGGGCAACAUUCCACGUUGUCCGUGCCGCAGCUAACGCA
Molecule: ribosomal RNA, 797 nt
Filed under: Streptomyces viridosporus
Lineage: Bacteria; Bacillati; Actinomycetota; Actinomycetes; Kitasatosporales; Streptomycetaceae
Description: bacterial SSU rRNA
Rfam family: Bacterial small subunit ribosomal RNA
Source: RNAcentral